UUGAACGCUGGCGGCAUGCCUUACACAUGCAAGUCGAACGGUAACAGGUCUUCGGAUGCUGACGAGUGGCGAACGGGUGAGUAAUACAUCGGAACGUGCCCAGACGUGGGGGAUAACGAGGCGAAAGCUUUGCUAAUACCGCAUACGAUCUAAGGAUGAAAGCAGGGGACCGCAAGGCCUUGCGCGUUUGGAGCGGCCGAUGGCGGAUUAGGUAGUUGGUGGGAUAAAAGCUUACCAAGCCGACGAUCUGUAGCUGGUCUGAGAGGACGACCAGCCACACUGGGACUGAGACACGGCCCAGACUCCUACGGGAGGCAGCAGUGGGGAAUUUUGGACAAUGGGCGAAAGCCUGAUCCAGCAAUGCCGCGUGCAGGAUGAAGGCCUUCGGGUUGUAAACUGCUUUUGUACGGAACGAAAAGGCUCUGGCUAAUACCUGGGGCACAUGACGGUACCGUAAGAAUAAGCACCGGCUAACUACGUG
This 481-nucleotide ribosomal RNA is filed under the name uncultured bacterium. RNAcentral's name for it is "partial 16S ribosomal RNA". It matches the Rfam family "Bacterial small subunit ribosomal RNA", at positions 30 to 507 of the family's 1533-position model. The record is from RNAcentral.